Molecule: ribosomal RNA, 482 nt
Filed under: uncultured bacterium
Lineage: Bacteria
Description: partial 16S ribosomal RNA
Rfam family: Bacterial small subunit ribosomal RNA
Source: RNAcentral
AUUGAACGCUGGCGGCAUGCCUUACACAUGCAAGUCGAACGGUAACGGGCCUUCGGGUGCCGACGUGUGGCGAACGGGCGAGUAAUACAUCGGAACGUGCCCGAUCGUGGGGGAUAACGAGGCGAAAGCUUUGCUAAUACCGCAUACGAUCUAUGGAUGAAAGCAGGGGCCCGGAAGGCCGUGCGCGGGCGGCGCGGCCGAUUGGGGAUUAGGUAGUUGGGGGGAUAAAAGCUUACCAAGCCGACGAUCUGUAGCUGGUCUGAGAGGAUGAUCAGCCACACUGGGACUGAGACACGGCCCAGACUCCUACGGGAGGCAGCAGUGGGGAAUUUUGGACAAUGGGCGCAAGCCUGAUCCAGCCAUGCCGCGUGCAGGAUGAAGGCCUUCGGGUUGUAAACUGCUUUUGUACGGAUCGAAAAGCCUUCUUUUAAUACAGGAGGGUCAUGACGGUACCGUAAGAAUAAGCACCGGCUAACUACGUG